GACGAACGCUGGCGGCGUGCUUAACACAUGCAAGUCGAACGGAGCGAAUGAAAGCUUGCUUUUAUAAGCUUAGUGGCAAACGGGUGAGUAACACGUAGGCAACCUGCCGACAGGAUGGGGACAACAUUCCGAAAGGAAUGCUAAUACCGAAUGAAGCGCAGGGGAGGCAUCUCUCCUGCGUGAAAGAUGGCCUCUAUAUAUAAGCUAUCACCUGUCGAUGGGCCUGCGUCUGAUUAGCUGGUAGGUGAGGUAACGGCUCACCUAGGCGACGAUCAGUAGCCGGUCUGAGAGGAUGAACGGCCACAUUGGGACUGAGACACGGCCCAGACUCCUACGGGAGGCAGCAGUGGGGAAUCUUCCGCAAUGGGCGCAAGCCUGACGGAGCAACGCCUCGUGAGUGAAGAAGGUCUUCGGAUCGUAAAGCUCUGUUGAUGGGGACGAACGUGCCUAAUGCGAAUAGUAUUAGGUAAUG
RNAcentral lists this ribosomal RNA (472 nucleotides) under Centipeda noxia. RNAcentral describes it as "bacterial SSU rRNA". It matches the Rfam family "Bacterial small subunit ribosomal RNA", at positions 28 to 471 of the family's 1533-position model. Lineage: Bacteria; Bacillati; Bacillota; Negativicutes; Selenomonadales; Selenomonadaceae. The record is from RNAcentral.